This 447-nucleotide ribosomal RNA is filed under the name uncultured bacterium. Its description in RNAcentral is "bacterial SSU rRNA". It matches the Rfam family "Bacterial small subunit ribosomal RNA", at positions 330 to 793 of the family's 1533-position model. The record is from RNAcentral.
ACCAGACUCCUACGGGAGGCAGCAGUGGGGAAUAUUGCACAAUGGGGGAAACCCUGAUGCAGCGACGCCGCGUGAGUGAAGAAGUAUUUCGGUAUGUAAAGCUCUAUCAGCAGGGAAGAAAAUGACGGUACCUGACUAAGAAGCCCCGGCUAACUACGUGCCAGCAGCCGCGGUAAUACGUAGGGGGCAAGCGUUGUUCGGAAUGACUGGGCGUAAAGGGUGCGUAGGCGGUGUAGCAAGUUAGAAGUGAAAUACCUAGAGCUUAACUCAGGUGCUGCUUCUAAAACUGCUAUACUUGAGUGCAAUAGAGGAAAGUGGAAUUCCUAGUGUAGCGGUGGAAUGCGUAGAUAUUAGGAGGAACACCAGUGGCGAAGGCGGCCUGCUGGACGAUGACUGACGCUGAGGCUCGAAAGCGUGGGGAGCAAACAGGAUUAGAUACCCCGGUAC